RNAcentral lists this non-coding RNA (30 nucleotides) under Rattus norvegicus (Norway rat). The record is from RNAcentral. Lineage: Eukaryota; Metazoa; Chordata; Mammalia; Rodentia; Muridae.
UGGGAUGUUUGCAGGGAUAGUUGAUCCUCC